UGAGUAACCUGCCCUUGACUCUGGGAUAAGCCUGGGAAACCGGGUCUAAUACUGGAUACGACCUUCUGGCGCAUGCCAUGUUGGUGGAAAGCUUUUGUGGUUUUGGAUGGACUCGCGGCCUAUCAGCUUGUUGGUGGGGUAAUGGCCUACCAAGGCGACGACGGGUAGCCGGCCUGAGAGGGUGACCGGCCACGCUGGGACUGAGACACGGCCCAGACCUCCGUACGGGAGGCAG
RNAcentral lists this ribosomal RNA (235 nucleotides) under uncultured bacterium. RNAcentral's name for it is "partial 16S ribosomal RNA". It matches the Rfam family "Bacterial small subunit ribosomal RNA", at positions 118 to 351 of the family's 1533-position model. The record is from RNAcentral.